AGGGCGCCUGAGUCGGCAGUGGCAGACGCGAAACCAAGUGAUCUACCCUUGACCAGGUUGAAGGCUGGGUAACACCAGCUGGAGGACCGAACCAAUAAGCGUUGAAAAGCUUCUGGAUGAGUUGAGGGUAGGGGUGAAAGGCUAAUCAAACUUGGAGAUAGCUCGUACUCCCCGAAAUGCAUUUAGGUGCAGCCUUGCGGGUUACUGAUGUGAGGUAGAGCGACUGAUAAGAUGCGAGGGCUUCACCGCCUAUCAAGUCUUGACAAACUCCGAAUGCGCAUCAGUCCUACCGCAGGAGUGAGGGCAUGGGUGCUAAGGUCCGUGCCCGAGAGGAGAAGAAUCCGGACCACCUGCUAAGGUCCCGAAAUGACAGCUAAGUUAAACUAACGAAGUCGGACUGCCAUGACAGCUAGGAUGUUGGCUUGGAAGCAGCCAUUCAUUUAAAGAGUGCGUAACAGCUCACUAGUCGAGGAGUCCGGCGUGGAUAAUAAUCGGGUAUGAAGUUGUCUACCGAAGCAGUGGGAUCAUGUAAAUGAUCGGUAGGGGAGCAUUCCACCCGGCGUCGAAGGCGUACCGCGAGGUAUUCUGGAGCGUGUGGAAAAGCAAAUGUAGGUAUAAGUAACGAUAAAGCAGGUGAGAAACCUGCUCGCCGCAAGACCAAGGUUUCCUGAUCAACGCUAAUCGGAUCAGGGUCAGUCGGGUCCUAAGGCUCAGCCGAACGGCGAGGCCGAUGGCAGAAACGGUUAAUAUUCCGUUACUACCUUUACGGGCGAUGUGGAGACGCAGAAGUGACAGUGCCGCCAUCUGACGGAAUAGAUGGUUGAAGGGUGUAGAAGCUGAUCGUGGCAGGCAAAUCCACCACGUGAUUCGAACCUGACAGUAUGCCGCGUCCUCCGGGACAAGGCAAUAGUGCACGUAAUCAUACUGCCGAGAAAAUCCGCUAAGCUAUACCGUAAAGGUACCCGUACCGUAAACGGACACACGUGGUCGGGAUGAAUAUUCUAAGGCGCUUGAGUGAUUCACGGUUAAGGAACUAGGCAAACUGACCCUGUAACUUCGGGAUAAAGGGUCCCUCCUCGCAAGAGAGGGCGCAGAGAAUAGGUCCAGGCAACUGUUUAACAAAAACACAGGGCUGUGCAAAAUCGAAAGAUCCGGUAUACAGCCUGACACCUGCCCGGUGCUGGAAGGUUAAGAGGAGACGUCAUCGCAAGAGAAGCGUUGAAUUGAAGCCCCAGUAAACGGCGGCCGUAACUAUAACGGUCCUAAGGUAGCGAAAUUCCUUGUCGGGUAAGUUCCGACCUGCACGAAUGGUGUAAUGAUCUGGACGCUGUCUCAACCGUGAGCUCAGUGAAAUUGUAGUAUCGGUGAAGAUGCCGAUUACCCGCGAUGGGACGAAAAGACCCCGUGAACCUUUACUAUAGCUUAUCAUUGAAUUUGGGCACGUGAUGUGUAGGAUAGGUCGGAGGCUUUGAAGCAGGUACGCCAGUAUUUGUGGAGCCGCUGUUGAAAUACGACCCUUCAUUUGUUUGAGUUCUAACUCGUGAUGCGAGGACACUGAUUGGUGGGUAGUUUGACUGGGGUGGUCGCCUCCAAAAGUGUAACGGAGGCUUCUAAAGGUGCCCUCACGGCGAUUGGUAACCGCCGGCAGAGUGUAAUGGCAUAAGGGCGCUUGACUGGGAGACUCACAAGUCGAGCAGGUAGGAAACUAGAGCAUAGUGAUCCGGUGUUUCCGUAUGGAAGGGACAUCGCUCAAAGGAUAAAAGGUACUCCGGGGAUAACAGGCUGAUCCCUCCCAAGAGCUCAUAUCGACGGAGUGGUUUGGCACCUCGAUGUCGGCUCGUCACAUCCUGGGGCUGGAGAAGGUCCCAAGGGUUGGGCUGUUCGCCCAUUAAAGUGGCACGCGAGCUGGGUUCAGAACGUCGUGAGACAGUUCGGUCUCUAUCUAUCGUGGGCGUAUGAAAUUUGCGUGGCUCUGACACUAGUACGAGAGGACCGUGUUGGACUGACCUCUGGUUUACCGGUUGUGCCGCCAGGUGCAUCGCCGGGUAUCCAAGUCGGGAUCGGAUAAGUGCUGAAAGCAUCUAAGUACGAAGCCGGCCACAAGAUUAGAUUUCUCAGGGUCGUUGCAGACGACGACGUUGAUAGGAUGCAGGUGUAAAGAUGGAGACAUCAAAGCCGAGCAUUACUAAUUGCCCGUUCACUUUCUUUA
This 2209-nucleotide ribosomal RNA is filed under the name Phocaeicola sartorii. RNAcentral describes it as "bacterial LSU rRNA". It matches the Rfam family "Bacterial large subunit ribosomal RNA", at positions 689 to 2925 of the family's 2925-position model. Lineage: Bacteria; Pseudomonadati; Bacteroidota; Bacteroidia; Bacteroidales; Bacteroidaceae. The record is from RNAcentral.